AAUCAAGGCCAUAUCUAUUAUAGAUCAAAAGUUAUAAUCAGUCAAACAGGGUUGACCAAAACUGCAAAACCAGCGAAUCCAGAAAUUUCUUGAGUGUUGUCCGUGGUCGACUUUGACCAGUAAUUUCUAGUUCGAUCUGAUGUUAUUAUGAUGAUGUUAAGGUUUGUAGUUGUAGUACUACAUGUUGUCUACACAUUAGAAGUGAUAGAGCACAACAAUGUUACACGAUCACCAAGUUAUAGAGGUCCAAAUUAGGCACCUCGAAGCUGUUUUUCGUGAAGAACAGUUUUGGCAGCUACUUUGAGGUUCGUUUUCUCCCAGAUCUGAUGUUUUUUAGAGGUUAUGUUUGUUGGAUCUUUUAGUCUUGUAUUUCCUCUACAAGACACAAUUUAUAGAUUGUCCAAAUUCGUUAAGAUGAGAGAGUUAUUCACGGUCAAAGUAACCCACUCGGUUCUGCUUUAUGAAGAUCUGGGUAGGCUCAAGAACACCUAUAGCGACGGUUCUGUCACUAUAGGGGCCUUUAGUGACAGUUUUAAUUAUUUUUAAAUUUCUGAUUUUUCAGAAAUUAAUUUAAAAAUUAGAAAAAUUAGUUUUUAAUUAUUAAAAAUACCAAAU
Molecule: long non-coding RNA, 615 nt
Filed under: Panax ginseng (ginseng)
Lineage: Eukaryota; Viridiplantae; Streptophyta; Magnoliopsida; Apiales; Araliaceae
Description: long non-coding RNA (PGIN_LNC007357)
Source: RNAcentral